Molecule: ribosomal RNA, 653 nt
Filed under: Escherichia coli
Lineage: Bacteria; Pseudomonadati; Pseudomonadota; Gammaproteobacteria; Enterobacterales; Enterobacteriaceae
Description: partial 23S ribosomal RNA
Rfam family: Bacterial large subunit ribosomal RNA
Source: RNAcentral
GAAGGUGUGCUGUGAGGCAUGCUGGAGGUAUCAGAAGUGCGAAUGCUGACAUAAGUAACGAUAAAGCGGGUGAAAAGCCCGCUCGCCGGAAGACCAAGGGUUCCUGUCCAACGUUAAUCGGGGCAGGGUGAGUCGACCCCUAAGGCGAGGCCGAAAGGCGUAGUCGAUGGGAAACAGGUUAAUAUUCCUGUACUUGGUGUUACUGCGAAGGGGGGACGGAGAAGGCUAUGUUGGCCGGGCGACGGUUGUCCCGGUUUAAGCGUGUAGGCUGGUUUUCCAGGCAAAUCCGGAAAAUCAAGGCUGAGGCGUGAUGACGAGGCACUACGGUGCUGAAGCAACAAAUGCCCUGCUUCCAGGAAAAGCCUCUAAGCAUCAGGUAACAUCAAAUCGUACCCCAAACCGACACAGGUGGUCAGGUAGAGAAUACCAAGGCGCUUGAGAGAACUCGGGUGAAGGAACUAGGCAAAAUGGUGCCGUAACUUCGGGAGAAGGCACGCUGAUAUGUAGGUGAAGUCCCUUGCGGAUGGAGCUGAAAUCAGUCGAAGAUACCAGCUGGCUGCAACUGUUUAUUAAAAACACAGCACUGUGCAAACACGAAAGUGGACGUAUACGGUGUGACGCCUGCCCGGUGCCGGAAGGUUAAUUGAUGGGGU